CUCCAGAUGAUUUCUAACAGCCUACUGGGGUUUCUUCACCAAAGUUUGAAUCUCUGGAGAAUACUCGCUUAAGAUUUGAACACAUGAACACUAAAGUGACAGAAGAAGGAGGUGUGGAUGGACUAAGUGGCACUGCCGGAGGGCAGUGGCCUGAAGAGGAUGCUGCUGAGCGGGGAGCAAUGACACACCAACCAAGGGUGAGAUGACAGAUGGGACACCACCAGGAGGGGGUGCUCCACUGGACUGAGCUAAUUCCCAGACAUGACCAGCAGGAGGUGCCAGGUGAUCACACAAUUGCUGGCUGACACUAUCCACACCAAUGGUAGAAACUGACAUAGAU
Mauremys reevesii (Reeves's turtle) is the source of this 340-nucleotide long non-coding RNA. RefSeq lists it as uncharacterized. The record is from RefSeq and is a predicted model, not a curated record. The transcript has 3 exons. NCBI's taxonomy places the organism in Eukaryota, Metazoa, Chordata, Testudines, Geoemydidae.